RNAcentral lists this ribosomal RNA (2826 nucleotides) under Shigella dysenteriae. Its description in RNAcentral is "partial 23S ribosomal RNA". It matches the Rfam family "Bacterial large subunit ribosomal RNA". Lineage: Bacteria; Pseudomonadati; Pseudomonadota; Gammaproteobacteria; Enterobacterales; Enterobacteriaceae. The record is from RNAcentral.
GGGUUGUGAGGUUAAGCGACUAAGCGUACACGGUGGAUGCCCUGGCAGUCAGAGGCGAUGAAGGACGUGCUAAUCUGCGAUAAGCGUCGGUAAGGUGAUAUGAACCGUUAUAACCGGCGAUUUCCGAAUGGGGAAACCCAGUGUGAUUCGUCACACUAUCAUUAACUGAAUCCAUAGGUUAAUGAGGCGAACCGGGGGAACUGAAACAUCUAAGUACCCCGAGGAAAAGAAAUCAACCGAGAUUCCCCCAGUAGCGGCGAGCGAACGGGGAGCAGCCCAGAGCCUGAAUCAGUGUGUGUGUUAGUGGAAGCGUCUGGAAAGGCGUGCGAUACAGGGUGACAGCCCCGUACACAAAAAUGCACAUAUUGUGAGCUCGAUGAGUAGGACGGGACACGUGGUAUCCUGUCUGAAUAUGGGGGGACCAUCCUCCAAGGCUAAAUACUCCUGACUGACCGAUAGUGAACCAGUACCGUGAGGGAAAGGCGAAAAGAACCCCGGCGAGGGGAGUGAAAAAGAACCUGAAACCGUGUACGUACAAGCAGUGGGAGCACGCUUAGGCGUGUGACUGCGUACCUUUUGUAUAAUGGGUCAGCGACUUAUAUUCUGUAGCAAGGUUAACCGAAUAGGGGAGCCGAAGGGAAACCGAGUCUUAACUGGGCGUUAAGUUGCAGGGUAUAGACCCGAAACCCGGUGAUCUAGCCAUGGGCAGGUUGAAGGUUGGGUAACACUAACUGGAGGACCGAACCGACUAAUGUUGAAAAAUUAGCGGAUGACUUGUGGCUGGGGGUGAAAGGCCAAUCAAACCGGGAGAUAGCUGGUUCUCCCCGAAAGCUAUUUAGGUAGCGCCUCGUGAAUUCAUCUCCGGGGGUAGAGCACUGUUUCGGCAAGGGGGUCAUCCCGACUUACCAACCCGAUGCAAACUGCGAAUACCGGAGAAUGUUAUCACGGGAGACACACGGCGGGUGCUAACGUCCGUCGUGAAGAGGGAAACAACCCAGACCGCCAGCUAAGGUCCCAAAGUCAUGGUUAAGUGGGAAACGAUGUGGGAAGGCCCAGACAGCCAGGAUGUUGGCUUAGAAGCAGCCAUCAUUUAAAGAAAGCGUAAUAGCUCACUGGUCGAGUCGGCCUGCGCGGAAGAUGUAACGGGGCUAAACCAUGCACCGAAGCUGCGGCAGCGACACUAUGUGUUGUUGGGUAGGGGAGCGUUCUGUAAGCCUGUGAAGGUGUACUGUGAGGUAUGCUGGAGGUAUCAGAAGUGCGAAUGCUGACAUAAGUAACGAUAAAGCGGGUGAAAAGCCCGCUCGCCGGAAGACCAAGGGUUCCUGUCCAACGUUAAUCGGGGCAGGGUGAGUCGACUCCUAAGGCGAGGCCGAAAGGCGUAGUCGAUGGGAAACAGGUUAAUAUUCCUGUACUUGGUGUUACUGCGAAGGGGGGACGGAGAAGGCUAUGUUGGCCGGGCGACGGUUGUCCCGGUUUAAGCGUGUAGGCUGGUUUUCCAGGCAAAUCCGGAAAACUAAGGCUGAGGCGUGAUGACGAGGCACUACGGUGCUGAAGCAACAAAUGCCCUGCUUCCAGGAAAAGCCUCUAAGCAUCAGGUAACAUCAAAUCGUACCCCAAACCGACACAGGUGGUCAGGUAGAGAAUACCAAGGCGCUUGAGAGAACUCGGGUGAAGGAACUAGGCAAAAUGGUGCCGUAACUUCGGGAGAAGGCACGCUGAUAUGUAGGUGAAGUCCCUCGCGGAUGGAGCUGAAAUCAGUCGAAGAUACCAGCUGGCUGCAACUGUUUAUUAAAAACACAGCACUGUGCAAACACGAAAGUGGACGUAUACGGUGUGACGCCUGCCCGGUGCCGGAAGGUUAAUUGAUGGGGUCAGCGCAAGCGAAGCUCUUGAUCGAAGCCCCGGUAAACGGCGGCCGUAACUAUAACGGUCCUAAGGUAGCGAAAUUCCUUGUCGGGUAAGUUCCGACCUGCACGAAUGGCGUAAUGAUGGCCAGGCUGUCUCCACCCGAGACUCAGUGAAAUUGAACUCGCUGUGAAGAUGCAGUGUACCCGCGGCAAGACGGAAAGACCCCGUGAACCUUUACUAUAGCUUGACACUGAACAUUGAGCCUUGAUGUGUAGGAUAGGUGGGAGGCUUUGAAGUGUGGACGCCAGUCUGCAUGGAGCCGACCUUGAAAUACCACCCUUUAAUGUUUGAUGUUCUAACGUUGACCCGUAAUCCGGGUUGCGGACAGUGUCUGGUGGGUAGUUUGACUGGGGCGGUCUCCUCCUAAAGAGUAACGGAGGAGCACGAAGGUUGGCUAAUCCUGGUCGGACAUCAGGAGGUUAGUGCAAUGGCAUAAGCCAGCUUGACUGCGAGCGUGACGGCGCGAGCAGGUGCGAAAGCAGGUCAUAGUGAUCCGGUGGUUCUGAAUGGAAGGGCCAUCGCUCAACGGAUAAAAGGUACUCCGGGGAUAACAGGCUGAUACCGCCCAAGAGUUCAUAUCGACGGCGGUGUUUGGCACCUCGAUGUCGGCUCAUCACAUCCUGGGGCUGAAGUAGGUCCCAAGGGUAUGGCUGUUCGCCAUUUAAAGUGGUACGCGAGCUGGGUUUAGAACGUCGUGAGACAGUUCGGUCCCUAUCUGCCGUGGGCGCUGGAGAACUGAGGGGGGCUGCUCCUAGUACGAGAGGACCGGAGUGGACGCAUCACUGGUGUUCGGGUUGUCAUGCCAAUGGCACUGCCCGGUAGCUAAAUGCGGAAGAGAUAAGUGCUGAAAGCAUCUAAGCACGAAACUUGCCCCGAGAUGAGUUCUCCCUGACUCCUUGAGAGUCCUGAAGGAACGUU